Apis dorsata (giant honeybee) is the source of this 624-nucleotide long non-coding RNA. RefSeq lists it as uncharacterized. The transcript has 3 exons. NCBI's taxonomy places the organism in Eukaryota, Metazoa, Arthropoda, Insecta, Hymenoptera, Apidae. The record is from RefSeq and is a predicted model, not a curated record.
CAAGACCUAAAUCCAUACAAGAAGGAGAUUUAUCACCGAUUACUCGAGCACUCUAGUGGUGGCAUUGGAUACUAUAAUACGACAGUGCUACGUGAGAAAUCGUGAUGGUGUAGUUUAUACCCUCUUUGGUCGUCGUUCCUCAUUUCGUUCAAGUAAAAGACGUAUCGAAGGACCAGGUUAUCUUCUUUGUUCGAGAAAAGCUUCAUCAGUGAGCAAUGGCGCGGGAACUUCACGUUCCAGAAUCGAUGUAUGCAUGGCGUAGGUGAUGAUCGGUGUUUGUACAUGUGGCAUGGUGUUUAUAGCGAACAGGAAGAUUUACAUAUCUUACUGAAUUGACCAGCUCGUCGGUUUUUGGAUACGAGCCGUGUCGUGAGCCGCCAUGAGGCGUAUUAGCGGAUAAUAAGCAGUCACCUGAUCUGAUCUGUUCAUCCCUACUUUGUGAAUGUUGUAAUCAAGAACGACGUCCGGUUUUGCUUUGUAACUGGCUCUUCUUGUGACCACAUAACAACGUAAGUUGUAGAAGCUGUGUGGCAUGCUAACAGCAUCAACACAUCUUUUGCGUCUCUCCAUUUUAGGCAGUGUAGGUACUUUCUUCUUACCGAUAUUUUUUUAUCUUUUUUAUAA